CUGCAGGCAGUUUGUUAAAGCGUACGGCAACAAUAUUCUUGCUUUGAUCGCGUGUACUCGCUUGUGUGUCUUUUAUAUAAAUCACUGAUAACAUACAAUAUGAAGUUCAUCACAUUUCCCAUGAUCAUAUUCGGUGCAAUCGCCACCAGUCAAGCAUCAAAAUUACCCAAUAACAAAGAUAUAUAUGUUCUGGACAAACCGACAACAAAUAACAUAUAUAUAUCCCUACUACCAAUGGAAAACCCAACCAAAAACACUGAAAAAGAACCUAAAGAAUUUAAGCUUUUUAUUCAAAAAAUUAAAGAAAAUAUGAAAAGGAUGACCGACCGAGAUGUUAAGUCGGAUGAAAAGGUAUCGGACAUAACUUCUUGUACGAUUAAGGCAGAAGUUACGUUCCUUGGGUGUUUGGGUAUAGAUACAGAUGGUUUGAAAGAUACAAUUGAAGAAGGUCUUUGGGAGAAAUGCCUCAGAAAAGCCUGGAAAGUGUUCACCCAAUGCCUUUUUUCGAAACCUUCGUCUGCAGUACUUGAUAAUUACGCUCCCAAUGUAGUUAUGCAUAUGAAAUAAUUGUUUUUUUAUUAAACAUUUGCUAAGUAAUAUUGUUGUUUGAAGUUUUGAUGAUCUGGGUUUAUUAUGGGUUAUUUUCAACCACAGAUUCAUAAAUUGUAAGAAUUACACGAU
Long non-coding RNA from Cydia strobilella, 681 nucleotides. RefSeq lists it as uncharacterized. NCBI's taxonomy places the organism in Eukaryota, Metazoa, Arthropoda, Insecta, Lepidoptera, Tortricidae. The record is from RefSeq and is a predicted model, not a curated record. The transcript has 3 exons.